GGACUACACGGGUUUCUAAUCCUGUUCGCUCCCCACGCUUUCGCUCCUCAGCGUCAGUUCCGGCCCAGAGACCCGCCUUCGCCACCGGUGUUCCUCCUGAUAUCUGCGCAUUUCACCGCUACACCAGGAAUUCCAGUCUCCCCUGCCGGACUCUAGUCUGCCCGUAUCGACUGCAGGUCCAGGGUUGAGCCCUGGAUUUUCACAGCCGACGUGACAGACCGCCUACGAGCUCUUUACGCCCAAUAAUUCCGGACAACGCUUGCACCCUACGUAUUACCGCGGCUGCUGGCAC
RNAcentral lists this ribosomal RNA (292 nucleotides) under uncultured bacterium. RNAcentral describes it as "partial 16S ribosomal RNA". The record is from RNAcentral.